AGUGAACGCUGGCGGUAGGCCUAACACAUGCAAGUCGAACGGCAGCACAGUAAGAGCUUGCUCUUACGGGUGGCGAGUGGCGGACGGGUGAGGAAUACAUCGGAAUCUACUUUUUCGUGGGGGAUAACGUAGGGAAACUUACGCUAAUACCGCAUACGACCUACGGGUGAAAGCAGGGGAUCUUCGGACCUUGCGCGAUUGAAUGAGCCGAUGUCGGAUUAGCUAGUUGGCGGGGUAAAGGCCCACCAAGGCGACGAUCCGUAGCUGGUCUGAGAGGAUGAUCAGCCACACUGGAACUGAGACACGGUCCAGACUCCUACGGGAGGCAGCAGUGGGGAAUAUUGGACAAUGGGCGCAAGCCUGAUCCAGCCAUACCGCGUGGGUAAAGAAGGCCUUCGGGCUGUAAAACCCUUUUGUUGGGAAAGAAAAGCAGCAGGUUAAUACCCCGCUGUUCUGACGGUACCCAAAGAAUAAGCACCGGCUAACUUCGUG
RNAcentral lists this ribosomal RNA (492 nucleotides) under uncultured bacterium. RNAcentral describes it as "partial 16S ribosomal RNA". It matches the Rfam family "Bacterial small subunit ribosomal RNA", at positions 29 to 507 of the family's 1533-position model. The record is from RNAcentral.